GAUGAACGCUGGCGGCGUGGAUAAGGCAUGCAAGUCGAGUGGGUUUAGGCCCACGGCAAACGGGUUAGUAAUACAUAGGAACGUGCCUCUAAGUCGUGAAUAAUCCGGAGAAAUCCGGAACAAUACACGAUGUACUCUAUGGAGUAAAGUCUUCGGACGCUUAGGGAGCGGCCUGUGUCCUAUCAGCUUGUUGGUAGUGUAAAGGACUACCAAGGCUAUGACGGGUAGGGGACCUGAGAGGGUGACCCCCAACAUUGGGACUGAGACACUGCCCAAACACCUACGGGUGGCUGCAGUCGAGAAUAUUCCACAAUGGACGAAAGUCUGAUGGAGCGACGCCGCAUGCGGGAUGAAGGCCCUUGGGUCGUAAACCGCUUUUGUAAGGGAAAAAUGUAAUGAUGGUACCUUGCGAAUAAGAGGUUACUAACUCUGUGCCAGCGGUAGCGGUAAUACAGAGACCUCAAGCGUUAUCCGGAUUUAUUGGGCGUAAAGAGCAUGUAGGCAGAUAUGUUAGUCAGAUGUCAGAUCUUCGAGCUCAACUCGAAAACUGCAUUUGAAACGGCAUAUCUAGAGAAAGCAAGAGAUCAAUGGAACAUAUGGUGUAGCAGUGAAAUGCGUUGAUAUCAUAUGGAACACCAAAGGCGAAGGCAUUUGAUUGGUGCUUGUCUGACGCUGAGAUGCGAAAGCGUGGGUAGCGAAUGGGAUUAGAUACCCCAGUAGUCCACGCCCUAAACGAUGCAUACUAGGUAUUGGGAGAAUCGACCCUCCCAGUGUCGUAGCUAACGCGAUAAGUAUGCCGCCUGGGAAGUACGAGCGCAAGCUUAAAACUCAAAGGAAUAGACGGGGAUCCGCACAAGUGGUGGAGCAUGUGGUUUAAUUCGACAAUAAGCGAGGAACCUUACCAGGGCUUGAAACUUAGCUGCAUUGUAUGGAAACAUACAAGCCUUCGAGGGUGCUAAGCAGGUGCUGCACGGUCGUCGUCAGCUCGUGCCGUAAGGUGUUCUGUUAAGUCAGGAAACGAGCGCAACCCCUAUCGCGUGUUAUAUUGUCACGCGAGACUGCCCAGAACAGAGGUCAUGAAACACGAAACACGAAAACAUGAAACAAUUGAAAUUUUUGUUACGUGUUGCGUGCCAUAUGUUUCGUGAAUUGUGUUCUGGGAGGAAGGUGGGGAUGACGUCAGAUCAGCGUGGCCCUUUGACGCCCUGGGCGACACACGUGCUACAAUGGCCAGUACAAAGGGUUGCCAAGUCGUAAGACGGAGCUAAUCCCAAAAAGCUGGUCCCAGUUCGGAUUGAGGUCUGCAGCUCGACCUCAUGAAGCCGGAAUCACUAGUAAUCGUGAAUCAGCCAUGUCACGGUGAAUACGUUCUCGGAUCU
RNAcentral lists this ribosomal RNA (1379 nucleotides) under uncultured soil bacterium. RNAcentral's name for it is "bacterial SSU rRNA". It matches the Rfam family "Bacterial small subunit ribosomal RNA", at positions 28 to 1381 of the family's 1533-position model. The record is from RNAcentral.